Molecule: ribosomal RNA, 750 nt
Filed under: uncultured Variovorax sp.
Lineage: Bacteria; Pseudomonadati; Pseudomonadota; Betaproteobacteria; Burkholderiales; Comamonadaceae
Description: bacterial SSU rRNA
Rfam family: Bacterial small subunit ribosomal RNA
Source: RNAcentral
AUUGAACGCUGGCGGCAUGCCUUACACAUGCAAGUCGAACGGCAGCGCGGGAGCAAUCCUGGCGGCGAGUGGCGAACGGGUGAGUAAUACAUCGGAACGUGCCCAAUCGUGGGGGAUAACGCAGCGAAAGCUGUGCUAAUACCGCAUACGAUCUACGGAUGAAAGCAGGGGAUCGCAAGACCUUGCGCGAAUGGAGCGGCCGAUGGCAGAUUAGGUAGUUGGUGAGGUAAAGGCUCACCAAGCCUUCGAUCCGUAGCUGGUCUGAGAGGACGACUAGCCACACUGGGACUGAGACACGGCCCAGACUCCUACGGGAGGCAGCAGUGGGGAAUUUUGGACAAUGGGCGAAAGCCUGAUCCAGCCAUGCCGCGUGCAGGAUGAAGGCCUUCGGGUUGUAAACUGCUUUUGUACGGAACGAAACGGCCUUUUCUAAUAAAGAGGGCUAAUGACGGUACCGUAAGAAUAAGCACCGGCUAACUACGUGCCAGCAGCCGCGGUAAUACGUAGGGUGCAAGCGUUAAUCGGAAUUACUGGGCGUAAAGCGUGCGCAGGCGGUUAUGUAAGACAGUUGUGAAAUCCCCGGGCUCAACCUGGGAACUGCAUCUGUGACUGCAUAGCUAGAGUACGGUAGAGGGGGAUGGAAUUCCGCGUGUAGCACUGAAAUGCGUAGAUAUGCGGAGGAACACCGAUGGCGAAGGCAAUCCCCUGGACCUGUACUGACGCUCAUGCACGAAAGCGUGGGGAGCAAAC